Drosophila albomicans is the source of this 1901-nucleotide RNA transcript. RefSeq lists it as uncharacterized. NCBI's taxonomy places the organism in Eukaryota, Metazoa, Arthropoda, Insecta, Diptera, Drosophilidae. The transcript has 4 exons. The record is from RefSeq and is a predicted model, not a curated record.
UUGUGUUUCAUACGUUUUUUUUUGUUUAGUUUGCAAUUUAUAAAUACUCAAUUUCGCCAAGAUGUUUGAUGCACCCGGCUCAGACUGACAGCGUUGCCUCAAUUACCUUUGACAAUUCGCAGCAACUCGAGUUGACAUCGGAGCAACAAACAGAACUGGCAAAUUUCAUACGAAGGACCUUAGGCAAUAAUCGUUUAUCUUGCAUCAUUGCAGUUAAGCUACCUCCAAGCGGGUAUCCCACUUUGUCGUUACAACGACUAAGUGUGAUUUUGCCAGGGGGAUGUGUAAUAGGCCGCUUGUCGUAUCUGAAAUUGGCUAAGCCUAAAAGUAUGCAACAUUUUUUUUCCGUUCUUUUUCUAUACACAUACAUAUUUCUACCUAUUAUUUAUUAUAUUAUUUAUUUAUAUGUUUAUUGUACUAGUUAAUUUGUAUUAUUUAAUUUGUUUCGUUGUAUAACAUAAUUUGUAGUCUGAGAAAAUGGUACUCAAUGUCUUGUCGUGUUUUGUGCUUAGAAGCGGAGCUUUAUUUACAAAUGAUACUGAAAGCUCCAGAAAUAGCGCCAUCUAUUGGUGGACCACGAUACAUGCAAGCAUUAAUUGCUAGAUCAGCUGAUCGUGUGAAGUCCAGACCAAAAUAGACAAGCGAUUACCUUUUUGAGUAGGAUUAAUUGUCAAAUUUCCGAAAAAAAGGUUUUUGUUGUUGGUUUUGGCUGGAAGAAAAAUGGUUGGCAGGUUAUGUGCCGAACCUGAAAAAAUGUGUACAAGUGCAUGUGACUAAAAAGUAUAUAUCUCAGUGAAGUGGUUGGCGAAGCCUGAUGCAGAUAUCUUACUUUGCACCUUUGCCGUCAACCCAACACAUGCAAUAGAUGGUUGUCCACUGCAGGAGUUUGUCCUCCCAUACCAAGUGCCGUUUUCCAGAUUAGGAUUCGGCACUUAGUCAUAUUUUAUAUAAAACCUGGUAUUAAACUGACUCUAAUGACCCAGUCUUAUUUUAUAUAAACCCAGCCAUAUUUUAUAUAAUAGCCCAGCGGUAGAAUUUUAAAUUAAUUUAAACUGCAACUUCAACAGACACAACUGCUUGAUUAACGGCCAACCACCCAAAGCUCCACGUCGCAGCUGUGCUGGCCAGAUCAGCUGUCUGGACAACACAAACAGUUGAGCGGUUGCUAGCUGCAGACGCUCAUUGAGCACAGGAGAAUUGCUUCCCAGCAGGUUGUGUUUCUACUGCAAAACACCUGCGUCCGGCAGCCUUGCGAUCUCCGUUGGCUAUUUGCUCCGCACUUGUGGUGGCAUCGAGGCCGAGUAUCUGCGUCACCCAGGAGGAAGGCGAACGGCUGACUAGCAGCUUAUUUUUUUUUUGUUUGUUUGUUUAUUAUUGUUAAUUUACGUUAUGUUGUUUAAGUAUGCAUUAAUAAGUGAUAGUCCAUCAAUGUUGUAAGUGUAAUAUGAUGUGGCGAGAAAGUUGAACCAACAACUUUUCUGGGUCCUUCAUAAUACAAGUACCACUGUACUAUUGUAUAAAAUAGAAAUGGCAAUCAUUUAAGAAGGCAUGUAAGGCAACACCUCUAGGCAAAAUAUCUUUGUAAAAUUGAAUUUAGUUAUAAAAAUUAAUGUUUUUGUAUUGCCUGGAAAGCAUGUAAAACCAUACUUGCAUACAUUUGUAUGUAUGCAUGUUUGUUUUGAUCGACGUUACCGGUCGUAGCAAGCAGCUUCCAUGCAGGCGCAAAAGCUCGCAAUUAUUAUUAUUCCCCACAGAUACACCACAGACAGGCACCAACACAAGGAAAGAUCUUUCUGCGUGGGAGUCUCUAAUGUAUUGGUGCGUCCUAUUAGUUGGCCCUUUCCUUGAACCCCAUGCUAUCUGAGCAAAGCCCGGAGAAGCCAGCGCGUACGCCACACUAG